UACGAAGGGGGCUAGCGUUGCUCGGAAUGACUGGGCGUAAAGGGCGCGUAGGCGGUUUGAUCAGUUAGGUGUGAAAUUCCUGGGCUUAACCUGGGGGCUGCACUUAAUACGGUCAGGCUUGAGUGUGAAAGAGGGUCGUGGAAUUCCCAGUGUAGAGGUGAAAUUCGUAGAUAUUGGGAAGAACACCGGUGGCGAAGGCGGCGACCUGGUUCAUUACUGACGCUGAGGCGCGAAAGCGUGGGGAGCAAACAGGAUUAGAUACCCUGGUAGUCCACGCUGUAAACGAUGUGUGCUGGAUGUUGGGCGGCCUAGCCGUUCAGUGUCGUAGCUAACGCGAUAAGCACACCGCCUGGGGAGUACGGCCGCAAGGUUGAA
RNAcentral lists this ribosomal RNA (375 nucleotides) under uncultured bacterium. RNAcentral describes it as "bacterial SSU rRNA". It matches the Rfam family "Bacterial small subunit ribosomal RNA", at positions 524 to 898 of the family's 1533-position model. The record is from RNAcentral.